Molecule: long non-coding RNA, 488 nt
Organism: Uranotaenia lowii
Lineage: Eukaryota; Metazoa; Arthropoda; Insecta; Diptera; Culicidae
Exons: 2
Source: RefSeq, a predicted model, not a curated record
UUUGUGGCUUCACAGCAGACAAAAUGCUCUGGAGCAGCACCGAAUUUUUGCAACUUUUCAAAGUUCUCUGCUUUUGUUUGCUCAUAACCGGUAGCAUUGCCCGGCCAAGCGUGACAUUUAUUGAUGAGAGUUCACCGUACGAGCAAACUUUAGAAAGGUCACCACGGUCCCCAGAUGCUGUAGUUAAGCGAAGAGUUGUUGUUGUACCUCCGGAGAGACGAGGCAGAUUUUUCCUCCCCGACAAUGGAUGUUGGGAAUUUUUCGGCUUUAAGAUUUGUAACUUCACGCAAACAACCGGGGAGACUAAUGUGGAAAUUGUUAUAAAAGAAGGACGAAACUACUAUCGAAAUGGAAGGAAAGAUAGAUAUGAGUCUGGAAUGCCCUUUAGGGCGAAAUUAGAUUCCUGAAUUUGGCUCUAAUAAACUUGAAAACAUCUUUAUAAUAACUGUUGUAUUUUCAAAAUCUUUAGAAUAAAACAACCACCAGCA